AAGUCGUAACAAGGUUUCCGUAGGUGAACCUGCGGAAGGAUCAUUAACACGUAUCCAACGUUAAACAACCCUGUGAACUUUAAGUCCCCUCUUGCAGCCCAUGAGGAACAGCAAUCCCGGUAAAUCAUUGCCAAACAGUUUUGAUUCGGGACCUCUGUCCAAAAGGAGUUGCAAGUGAAUGACAGUGUCACUGACUGUGUAAGGAUAACGCCUCACGGUUGCUAGAGGUCGAUCACCGACCGGCAGACAUGUCACAGGGUCACCACGCCCCUUAAUCACUCCACUUGAAAAUGCCCCGCCUAGUGGUAACGCGCUAGGUAAAAAAAACCGAACAACUGUUAACAAUGGAUAUCUUGGUUCUC
This 362-nucleotide unclassified non-coding RNA is filed under the name fungal sp. RNAcentral describes it as "partial internal transcribed spacer region". The stretch from base 1 to 46 matches the Rfam family "Eukaryotic small subunit ribosomal RNA", at positions 1786 to 1831 of the family's 1831-position model. The record is from RNAcentral. Lineage: Eukaryota; Fungi.